GCGCCCGUAGCUCAACCGGAUAGAGCAUCCGCCUUCUAAGCGGACGGUUGCAGGUUCGAGUCCUGCCGGGCGUGCCA
RNAcentral lists this transfer RNA (77 nucleotides) under Alphaproteobacteria bacterium. Its description in RNAcentral is "tRNA-Arg". It matches the Rfam family "tRNA". From Rfam's summary of the family: Transfer RNA (tRNA) molecules are approximately 80 nucleotides in length. Their secondary structure includes four short double-helical elements and three loops (D, anti-codon, and T loops). Further hydrogen bonds mediate the characteristic L-shaped molecular structure. tRNAs have two regions of fundamental functional importance: the anti-codon, which is responsible for specific mRNA codon recognition, and the 3' end, to which the tRNAs corresponding amino acid is attached (by aminoacyl-tRNA synthetases). tRNAs cope with the degeneracy of the genetic code in two manners: having more than one tRNA (with a specific anti-codon) for a particular amino acid; and 'wobble' base-pairing, i.e. permitting non-standard base-pairing at the 3rd anti-codon position. The record is from RNAcentral. Lineage: Bacteria; Pseudomonadati; Pseudomonadota; Alphaproteobacteria.